This is a long non-coding RNA of Mercenaria mercenaria, 1101 nucleotides long. RefSeq lists it as uncharacterized. Lineage: Eukaryota; Metazoa; Mollusca; Bivalvia; Venerida; Veneridae. The transcript has 3 exons. The record is from RefSeq and is a predicted model, not a curated record.
UCGACCGACUUUGUGAGAAAUAUCAAAACUUGAGAACUCCGUGCAGUCUGAUCAUGAUCUGCACUAUUCGCCAUUCGGUAGUAUAUUUUUGUAAGCACCCCUUUUAACAGUUAAGGUACUGUCCAAUUUGAAAUUUGGACAAGUUCAUUAUAGAAAUUUAGCAGGGUAAGGGUUAAACCAAAUUACUGUAAAAGCUCAAUUACGUUAUAUACUUCUUAGAUUUUGUAGGAGGAUUUUCCGCCAAAAGUAAAUAGAACAAAAUAAACAGUCUUAGUUAGAUAAGUGACAAGCAUCAGAGUUAUUUCUCAUUUCAUUCAUACUUACAAUUCAUAGGCAAAAAAUCGUCACAAAUUAGUAAAGGAAUACAAAAGGACAAUAAGUCUAGCAAAGAGUUAUGGGUUUUAACGCACUUACCGAUGUAAUGGUGAUAAACAACUGUCCAAAGAUUCAUUUAAUAGCUUUGAUAAUGCAUGCCAUAUGUAACAUGUACAGACAAGUAUUUUACAAAAUGCAUACAAAAAUUUACAGCGACUUAAAAAAACUUGAAAAAGUGCUUGCGGAAUAACUCAUUUUGCAAAAGUAUUGUACAGGUUGUAAGCGGAGUUUCCGUCGAACGGAAAAAACAACAACAUAUGCACUCUUAAUUAAACGAAUGAGAAAGACAAGUUCUAUACGUUUGUUUUAUAACGUAUUUCCAAAGGAGAAACAUAUUUAUGUUGAAGGCUUUUGUUUGGCCAGUCUGAAAUGAAAAUGAUUUAUGAAAAUGUAUGAAAAUGGAUUUAUUUCGGAAUAUGCAUGCUAUUGUGUAGUGGUGCAGAGGAACCUAGUUGCACAUUACAUUUUGAUUACGAAUACAGGACGGUUCGAAAACUAUAUGAGUUAGAGCAGAGAAUAGAGCAGUUGUCACAUAAAGAUCAUACCUUUGCAGAUCAAGAUCGUAAUUAAUGCAGAUUCAGUUGGCAGUAAUUCUGACGCUAUUUAAUCUAAAAAACAUGAAAUAACAACUUAGUCAAAGAUAAGAUCCCUCAUUUAGAAGUCUUUUGAAUGCUAGGACUGGUGCUCAAACAGAAAUAAGUCAAGAUAUAUAACAUAAAGCAAAGG